UACGAAGGGGGCUAGCGUUGCUCGGAAUUACUGGGCGUAAAGGGCGCGUAGGCGGACAGUUUAGUCAGAGGUGAAAGCCCAGGGCUCAACCUUGGAAUUGCCUUUGAUACUGGCUGUCUUGAGUUCGGGAGAGGUGAGUGGAAUGCCGAGUGUAGAGGUGAAAUUCGUAGAUAUUCGGCGGAACACCAGUGGCGAAGGCGACUCACUGGCCCGAUACUGACGCUGAGGAGCGAAAGCGUGGGGAGCAGA
RNAcentral lists this ribosomal RNA (249 nucleotides) under uncultured bacterium. RNAcentral describes it as "partial 16S ribosomal RNA". It matches the Rfam family "Bacterial small subunit ribosomal RNA", at positions 524 to 772 of the family's 1533-position model. The record is from RNAcentral.